RNAcentral lists this ribosomal RNA (119 nucleotides) under Eutrema salsugineum. Lineage: Eukaryota; Viridiplantae; Streptophyta; Magnoliopsida; Brassicales; Brassicaceae. The record is from RNAcentral.
GGGUGCGAUCAUAUCAGCACUAAUGCACCGGAUCCCAUCAUAACACCGCAGUUAAGCGUGCUUGGGUGAGAGUAGUACUAGGAUGGGUGACCUCUCGGGAAGUCCUCGUGUUGCACCCC